UGGCUAAGUCAGUUAAGAAUCUGCCUGCAAUGCAGGAGACCUAGGUUCAAUCCCUAG
This 57-nucleotide transfer RNA is filed under the name Ovis aries (sheep). It matches the Rfam family "tRNA", at positions 8 to 63 of the family's 71-position model. Rfam says of the family: Transfer RNA (tRNA) molecules are approximately 80 nucleotides in length. Their secondary structure includes four short double-helical elements and three loops (D, anti-codon, and T loops). The record is from Rfam by way of RNAcentral. Lineage: Eukaryota; Metazoa; Chordata; Mammalia; Artiodactyla; Bovidae.